Molecule: unclassified non-coding RNA, 386 nt
Filed under: uncultured Phycisphaeraceae bacterium
Lineage: Bacteria; Pseudomonadati; Planctomycetota; Phycisphaerae; Phycisphaerales; Phycisphaeraceae
Description: contains 16S-23S intergenic spacer region
Source: RNAcentral
UCCCGUUUGACACGGGCAGUCUCGCUAGAGUGCUCGGCAUAACCCGGUGGCAACUAGCGACAGGGGUUUCGCUCGUUAAGGGACUUAACCCGACACUUCACAGCACGAGCUGACGACAGCCAUGCAGCACCUGUGUAUGUUCCACCCGUGAGGGUGUUACCCCUGUUUCCAGGGGCUAAUCCAUACAUGUCAAGCCUUGGAUAAGGUUCUUCGCGUUGCUUCGAAUUAAGCCACAUGCUCCACCGCUUGUGUGAGCCCCCGUCAAUUCCUUUGAGUUUUAGCCUUGCGACCGUACUCCCCAGGCGGCGCACUUAACACUUUUGCUUCGACCCCGAUGGCGUCAGAGCCUCCAGGAUCUAGUGCGCAUCGUUUACGGCGUGGACUAC